Molecule: ribosomal RNA, 253 nt
Filed under: uncultured bacterium
Lineage: Bacteria
Description: partial 16S ribosomal RNA
Rfam family: Bacterial small subunit ribosomal RNA
Source: RNAcentral
UACGAAGGGGGCUAGCGUUUUUCGGAAUUACUGGGCGUAAAGCGCACGUAGGCGGAUUUGUAAGUCAGGGGUGAAAUCCCGGGGCUCAACCUCGGAACUGCCUUUGAUACUGCAAGUCUUGAGACCGGAAGAGGUGAGUGGAAUUCCUAGUGUAGAGGUGAAAUUCGUAGAUAUUAGGAAGAACACCAGUGGCGAAGGCGGCUCACUGGUCCGGUUCUGACGCUGAGGUGCGAAAGCGUGGGGAGCAAACAGG